This 228-nucleotide long non-coding RNA is filed under the name Vigna radiata. Its description in RNAcentral is "long non-coding RNA (VRAD_LNC013386)". The record is from RNAcentral. Lineage: Eukaryota; Viridiplantae; Streptophyta; Magnoliopsida; Fabales; Fabaceae.
GAUUGCUUAAGUACCAAGUCUUGCCUAGCCAGAUUUGUCUUAUGCUACUCACUAAAUACCCUUUAAAGUAAAAUUACUUUUAAAAUCAAAGGACACACAAACAAAAACAAUUUUUUAAGACCCCUAAAACGUUUUCGGACUCUAAUGUGACAAGGUCACACCUACACGUGAAAAUCACACACAUGCAAGACAAUCAAAUUCUACUCCUAUGUCUAGCUAUGCUAAAUU